RNAcentral lists this ribosomal RNA (254 nucleotides) under uncultured bacterium. RNAcentral describes it as "partial 16S rRNA". It matches the Rfam family "Bacterial small subunit ribosomal RNA", at positions 505 to 758 of the family's 1533-position model. The record is from RNAcentral.
GUGCCAGCAGCCGCGGUAAAACGUAGGAGGCGAGCGUUAUCCGGAUUUACCGGGUGUAAAGCGCGUGCAGGCGGAUCGGAAAGUUGGAUGUGAAAGCUCCCGGCUUAACUGGGAGAGGUCGUUCAAAACUACCGGUCUUGAGUACAGUAGAGGGAAGUGGAAUUCCGGGUGUAGUGGUGAAAUGCGUAGAUAUCCGGAGGAAAACCAGUGGCGAAAGCGAAUUUCUGGACUGAAACUGACGCUGAGGUGCGAAA